AGCAGCCGCGGUAAUUCCAGCUCCAAUAGCGUAUAUUAAAGUUGUUGCAGUUAAAAAGCUCGUAGUUGAAUUUCGGGGUUAGUAGGUUGGUCAUGCCUCUGGUAUGUACUGGUCUCACUGAUUCCUCCUUCCUGAUGAGCCGUAAUGCCAUUAAUUUGGUGUUGCGGGGAAUUUGGACUGUUACUUUGAAAAAAUUAGAGUGUUUAAAGCAAGCUAACGCUUGAAUACAUUAGCAUGGAAUAAUGAAAUAGGACGUUCGAUCCUAUUUUGUUGGUUUCUAGGAUUGACGUAAUGAUUAAUAGGGAUAGUUGGGGGCAUUAGUAUUCAAUUGUCAGAGGUGAAAUUCUUGGAUUUAUUGAAGACUAACUACUGCGAAAGCAUUUGCCAAGGAUGUUUUCAUUAAUCAAGAACGAAAGUUAGGGGAUCGAAGACGAUCAGAUACCGUCGUAGUCUUAACCAUAGACUAUGCCGACUAGGGAUCGGAUGAUGUUAAUUUUUUAAUGACUCA
RNAcentral lists this ribosomal RNA (508 nucleotides) under Glomus sp. Glo8. Its description in RNAcentral is "SSU rRNA". It matches the Rfam family "Eukaryotic small subunit ribosomal RNA", at positions 569 to 1078 of the family's 1831-position model. Lineage: Eukaryota; Fungi; Glomeromycota; Glomeromycetes; Glomerales; Glomeraceae. The record is from RNAcentral.